UACUAUACUAAGUUAUUGUUGUAACUAGAAUAUUAUAAGAUAAAGUCUUCAAAUUCAAAGAAUUUGGCGGUAAUUUAGUCUUUCCAGAGGAAUCUGUUUUUUAAUCGAUAAACCACGAAAAAUCUUACUUAUUUUAUUAAUAUAAAAAGUUUGUAUACCGUCAUUAUCAGAUAAUAUUUAGAGGUUAAAUUAUUAAUCUUUAAAAGUAAUAAGAAAAAUUAGAUCAAGGUGCAGCCUAUAAAUAAGUUAAAAUGGAUUACAAUUAAUUUAAUGUAAAAUGGAAUUUAGUCUGAAAUAGCUAAAGGAAGGAGGAUUUGGUUGUAAAAGAGAUUAACAUGAUAAAAAGAUAUAAGCUCUAAAUUAU
RNAcentral lists this ribosomal RNA (364 nucleotides) under Microphrys bicornutus. RNAcentral's name for it is "partial 12S ribosomal RNA". Lineage: Eukaryota; Metazoa; Arthropoda; Malacostraca; Decapoda; Majidae. The record is from RNAcentral.